Molecule: ribosomal RNA, 572 nt
Filed under: uncultured bacterium
Lineage: Bacteria
Description: partial 16S ribosomal RNA
Rfam family: Bacterial small subunit ribosomal RNA
Source: RNAcentral
UGGGGAAUUUUGGACAAUGGGCGAAAGCCUGAUCCAGCAAUGCCGCGUGUGUGAAGAAGGCCUUCGGGUUGUAAAGCACUUUUGUCCGGAAAGAAAUCCUUGGCUCUAAUACAGUCGGGGGAUGACGGUACCGGAAGAAUAAGCACCGGCUAACUACGUGCCAGCAGCCGCGGUAAUACGUAGGGUGCAAGCGUUAAUCGGAAUUACUGGGCGUAAAGCGUGCGCAGGCGGUUUGCUAAGACCGAUGUGAAAUCCCCGGGCUCAACCUGGGAACUGCAUUGGUGACUGGCAGGCUAGAGUAUGGCAGAGGGGGGUAGAAUUCCACGUGUAGCAGUGAAAUGCGUAGAGAUGUGGAGGAAUACCGAUGGCGAAGGCAGCCCCCUGGGCCAAUACUGACGCUCAUGCACGAAAGCGUGGGGAGCAAACAGGAUUAGAUACCCUGGUAGUCCACGCCCUAAACGAUGUCAACUAGUUGUUGGGGAUUCAUUUCCCNAGUAACGUAGCUAACGCGUGAAGUUGACCGCCUGGGGAGUACGGUCGCAAGAUUAAAACUCAAAUGAAUUGACGGGGUC